This 274-nucleotide ribosomal RNA is filed under the name uncultured bacterium. Its description in RNAcentral is "partial 16S ribosomal RNA". It matches the Rfam family "Bacterial small subunit ribosomal RNA", at positions 523 to 796 of the family's 1533-position model. The record is from RNAcentral.
AUACAGAGGGUGCGAGCGUUAAUCGGAAUUACUAAGCGUAAAGCGCGCGUAGGCGGCUGAUUAAGUCAGAUGUGAAAUCCCAGGGCUCAACCUUGGAACUGCAUCUGAUACUGGGUAGCUAGAGUUUAGGAGAGGGAAGUAGAAUUUCAGGUGUAGCGGUGAAAUGCAUAGAGAUCUGAAGGAAUACCAGUGGCGAAGGCGGCUUCCUGGCCUAAAACUGACGCUGAGGUGCGAAAGCGUGGGUAGCAAACGGGAUUAGAAACCCCAGUAGUCC